This 111-nucleotide ribosomal RNA is filed under the name Plectosphaerellaceae sp. RNAcentral describes it as "partial small subunit ribosomal RNA". It matches the Rfam family "Eukaryotic small subunit ribosomal RNA", at positions 1352 to 1485 of the family's 1831-position model. Lineage: Eukaryota; Fungi; Ascomycota; Sordariomycetes; Glomerellales; Plectosphaerellaceae. The record is from RNAcentral.
UAAAUAGUCCGUAUUACCCCGGUAGUACGCCGACUUCUUAGAGGGACUAUCGGCUCAAGCCGAUGGAAGUUUGAGGCAAUAACAGGUCUGUGAUGCCCUUAGAUGUUCUGG